CAGCGGCAGCCUGGACAAGCGGCUGGGGAUCACGGCGGGGAUCUGCGUGCUGAUCCAGCACGUCCCGGACCGGAACGGCGACCGGUACGAGGCCAUCUACAGCUUCUACUUCGGCGACUACGGCCACAUCUCGGUGCAGGGCCCGUACCUGACCUACGAGGAGUCGUACCUGGCGGUCACCGGCGGGUCGGGCGUCUUCGAGGGCGCCUACGGCCAGGUCAAGCUCAACCAGAUCGUCUUCCCCUUCAAGAUCUUCUACACCUUCUACCUCAAGGGCAUCCCGGACCUGCCCAGGGACCUGCUCUGCACGCCCGUCCCGCCGUCACCCACCGUCGAGCCCACCCCCGCCGCCAAGGCCGCCGAGCCGCACGCCUCCAUCAACAACUACACCAACUGAUGACCCCAGUUUCUUUCGAUUCGGUGCUUGCUUGCGUUGCGUUCUACUAGUUAGUAGUACCAAUAAAUUAAAGAUGCAGAGGGAGGGAUCGAUCCACUUGUAGUACGUGCUUUUCACUUGGCUUCUUCUGAUUACAGCUGACUAGCAGCACCUCGUAUCAAAAAAAACAAAAAACAAAAAAAUCGAUGGAUUAGUAGA
Molecule: long non-coding RNA, 595 nt
Filed under: Sorghum bicolor (sorghum)
Lineage: Eukaryota; Viridiplantae; Streptophyta; Magnoliopsida; Poales; Poaceae
Description: long non-coding RNA (SBIC_LNC001487)
Source: RNAcentral